UUGAACGCUGGCGGCAGGCCUAACACAUGCAAGUCGAACGGUAACAGGAAGAAGCUUGCUUCUUUGCUGACGAGUGGCGGACGGGUGAGUAAUGUCUGGGAAACUGCCUGAUGGAGGGGGAUAACUACUGGAAACGGUAGCUAAUACCGCAUAACGUCGCAAGACCAAAGAGGGGGACCUUCGGGCCUCUUGCCAUCGGAUGUGCCCAGAUGGGAUUAGCUAGUAGGUGGGGUAACGGCUCACCUAGGCGACGAUCCCUAGCUGGUCUGAGAGGAUGACCAGCCACACUGGAACUGAGACACGGUCCAGACUCCUACGGGAGGCAGCAGUGGGGAAUAUUGCACAAUGGGCGCAAGCCUGAUGCAGCCAUGCCGCGUGUAUGAAGAAGGCCUUCGGGUUGUAAAGUACUUUCAGCGGGGAGGAAGGGAGUAAAGUUAAUACCUUUGCUCAUUGACGUUACCCGUAGAAGAAGCACCGGCUAACUCCGUG
This 489-nucleotide ribosomal RNA is filed under the name uncultured bacterium. RNAcentral's name for it is "partial 16S ribosomal RNA". It matches the Rfam family "Bacterial small subunit ribosomal RNA", at positions 30 to 507 of the family's 1533-position model. The record is from RNAcentral.